UGGGGAAUAUUGCACAAUGGGCGCAAGCCUGAUGCAGCCAUGCCGCGGGUGUGAAGAAGGCCUUCGGGUUGUAAAGCACUUUCAGCGGGGAGGAAGGCGUUAAGGUUAAUAACCUUGGCGAUUGACGUUACCCGCAGAAGAAGCACCGGCUAACUCCGUGCCAGCAGCCGCGGUAAUACGGAGGGUGCAAGCGUUAAUCGGAAUUACUGGGCGUAAAGCGCACGCAGGCGGUUGAUUGAGUCAGAUGUGAAAUCCCCGGGCUUAACCCGGGAAUUGCAUCUGAUACUGGUCAGCUAGAGGCUUGUAGAGGGGGGUAGAAUUCCAUGUGGAGCGGUGAAAUGCGUAGAGAUGUGGAGGAAUACCGGUGGCGAAGGCGGCCCCCUGGACAAAGACUGACGCUCAGGUGCGAAAGCGUGGGGAGCAAACAGG
This 429-nucleotide ribosomal RNA is filed under the name Chloroflexota bacterium. Its description in RNAcentral is "Chloroflexi bacterium partial 16S ribosomal RNA". It matches the Rfam family "Bacterial small subunit ribosomal RNA", at positions 355 to 776 of the family's 1533-position model. The record is from RNAcentral. Lineage: Bacteria; Bacillati; Chloroflexota.